GAGUAACGGCUCCACCAAGGCGAUGAUACGUAGCCGAACUGAGAGGUGAUCGGCCACAUUGGGACUGAGACACGGCCCAAACUCCUACGGGAGGCAGCAGUAGGGAAUCUUCCACAAUGGACGCAAGUCUGAUGGAGCAACGCCGCGUGAGUGAAGAAGGCUUUCGGGUCGUAAAACUCUGUUGUUGGAGAAGAAUGGUCGGCAGAGUAACUGUUGCCGGCGUGACGGUAUCCAACCAGAAAGCCACGGCUAACUACGUGCCAGCAGCCGCGGUAAUACGUAGGUGGCAAGCGUUAUCCGGAUUUAUUGGGCGUAAAGCGAGCGCAGGCGGU
Molecule: ribosomal RNA, 332 nt
Filed under: Lacticaseibacillus paracasei
Lineage: Bacteria; Bacillati; Bacillota; Bacilli; Lactobacillales; Lactobacillaceae
Description: bacterial SSU rRNA
Rfam family: Bacterial small subunit ribosomal RNA
Source: RNAcentral